RNAcentral lists this ribosomal RNA (538 nucleotides) under Enterobacter cloacae. Its description in RNAcentral is "partial 23S ribosomal RNA". It matches the Rfam family "Bacterial large subunit ribosomal RNA", at positions 2393 to 2925 of the family's 2925-position model. The record is from RNAcentral. Lineage: Bacteria; Pseudomonadati; Pseudomonadota; Gammaproteobacteria; Enterobacterales; Enterobacteriaceae.
GCAGGUGCGAAAGCAGGUCAUAGUGAUCCGGUGGUUCUGAAUGGAAGGGCCAUCGCUCAACGGAUAAAAGGUACUCCGGGGAUAACAGGCUGAUACCGCCCAAGAGUUCAUAUCGACGGCGGUGUUUGGCACCUCGAUGUCGGCUCAUCACAUCCUGGGGCUGAAGUAGGUCCCAAGGGUAUGGCUGUUCGCCAUUUAAAGUGGUACGCGAGCUGGGUUUAGAACGUCGUGAGACAGUUCGGUCCCUAUCUGCCGUGGGCGCUGGAGAAUUGAGGGGGGCUGCUCCUAGUACGAGAGGACCGGAGUGGACGCAUCACUGGUGUUCGGGUUGUCAUGCCAAUGGCACUGCCCGGUAGCUAAAUGCGGAAGAGAUAAGUGCUGAAAGCAUCUAAGCACGAAACUUGCCCCGAGAUGAGUUCUCCCUGAGACUUUAAGUCUCCUGAAGGAACGUUGAAGACGACGACGUUGAUAGGUCGGGUGUGUAAGCGCAGCGAUGCGUUGAGCUAACCGAUACUAAUGAACCGUGAGGCUUAACCUU